RNAcentral lists this ribosomal RNA (273 nucleotides) under uncultured bacterium. Its description in RNAcentral is "partial 16S ribosomal RNA". It matches the Rfam family "Bacterial small subunit ribosomal RNA", at positions 85 to 354 of the family's 1533-position model. The record is from RNAcentral.
CCGCCGGCGACCGGCGCACGGGUGAGUAACACGUAUGCAACCUGGCCGUGACAGAUGGAUAACCGGGAGAAAUCCCGCCUAAUACAACAUAAUGCCGGGAGGGGACAUCCCCUGCCGGCCAAAGGGGGCGACCCCGGUCACGGAUGGGCAUGCGGCGCAUUAGGUAGUUGGUGGGGCAACGGCCCACCAAGCCGACGAUGCGUAGGGGUUCUGAGAGGAAGGUCCCCCACAUUGGAACUGAGACACGGUCCAAACCCCUACGGAAGGCAGCAG